Ornithodoros turicata is the source of this 1058-nucleotide long non-coding RNA. RefSeq lists it as uncharacterized. The record is from RefSeq and is a predicted model, not a curated record. NCBI's taxonomy places the organism in Eukaryota, Metazoa, Arthropoda, Arachnida, Ixodida, Argasidae. The transcript has 2 exons.
GUCGGUCCGCGCAUGCGCACUAGGCUCCAGCCUUUUUCCCGCGCUGCAGCUCGGGGCCGCUGUGAGUGGCUCCUGGAGAUCACGUGGUUUGGGCGCCCUCCAUUUUCCGUGGACCAUUGCGUAAACGCAUGCGUAAACGGGAGCUCCCGGCGGAUGCCCUCGCGCUCUCUGCAGGGAAUAGCCCACGUUCGGCAUUCACGGUGCUUUUCUGGGGCAUAUUCUUGAAUCGCCCUAUUGGGCAUUCAUCCGACGUUCUCAGGACAUAUAAAAUUCGCAAUGGUUGUUUGGGUUCGUUGGAGCGUACUACGUUGUUCCGCGCUCCGCCGGUGAGGAGUGACAUGGCACAACGUAUUCUUCCGCAGUACGUUCCUUCCCGCUGCCCGCUUUCUUGCCGCUGUCUGCGUUGCAACCUCGCCUUUGAGAGGGAUGACAGCUUGCUUUUUAAGUACAGGUCUAAUGUUUGCUUAAGACGGUGGAUGCAUUGCAAUGGCGGCAGGAGAGGAUCGGCUGCAUCGGUGAAGCGACGAUGUACAUUACAAGCGAGGUUAAUUGUAUUCUUUCGUUAUAGGUGACCGUGGGACUGUAUCGAUUGCGAGGAGGUGAGUUACAAAAUGGAGUACUAUUCCAGCAUUAACGUUGGAACAAUACCAGCGUGAUAUUCACUUCGGUUUCUUUACAGGUUGUUUGCUGUCUCAACGGUCACACAUACGCGUGCAAGAUGCUUCUCACAUGGAAUUGGCGGAAUUGGUGUCUGUUGCCACUUGUUGGGCAAUUGUUCCUCGGCCAUUUCAUUUGAGGAACCGUCAUGUUCGUCACUAAGGAUCUUCGUUGAGCUUUCAGUGCCAGCCUGUUCGAAGUUUCGAGGAUUGUGUGUUCGGCGUUUGGAGGACUGCCUGGUGCAUCGGAUCAUCGGAUGGUUUGUGUGUCCGUGCAACGUGUGCUCCAUAUGUGUGUGUUGGGAUUAGUGAACCGUGUAUGUUUUCCAUUCGGCAAACGAUGAUGUACUGGAUGCAAUUUAAAGGUAUGUGCAAGCCAAUAAAAUUUGGUGUUUCAUGUUC